UACAGAGGGGGCAAGCGUUAUUCGGAAUUAUUGGGCGUAAAGGGCGCGUAGGCGGCUUGGCAAGUGGAAGGUGAAAUCCCUCGGCUUAACCGAGGAACUGCCUUCCAGACUGCUUUGCUUGAGGCCGGGAGAGGUGAGUGGAAUUCCCAGUGUAGCGGUGAAAUGCGUAGAUAUUGGGAGGAACACCAGUGGCGAAGGCGGCUCACUGGACCGGUUCUGACGCUGAGGCGCGAAAGCGUGGGGAGCAGACGGG
RNAcentral lists this ribosomal RNA (253 nucleotides) under uncultured bacterium. Its description in RNAcentral is "partial 16S ribosomal RNA". It matches the Rfam family "Bacterial small subunit ribosomal RNA", at positions 524 to 776 of the family's 1533-position model. The record is from RNAcentral.